CCCUUAGAUGUUCUGGGCUGCACACGUGCUACACUGGCAGGUUCAGCGAGCUUCAUGCCCUGAUCUGAAAGGAAUGGGAAAUCUUUUCAAAACCUGCCGUGCUUGGGAUAGAUGUUUGCAAUUAUUCAUCUUCAACGAGGAUUGCCUUGUAAGCGCACGUCCUCAGCGUGCAUUGAAUACGACCCUGUAUUCUGUACACACCGCCCGUCGCUCCUACCGAUUGAAGUUUUCGGUGAGUUGACAGGAGGAUUUUUUUGAAACUGGUUCGCCAGUGGAUUUUAGAUCCAAAUGCCAACGAAUCGAUGGCUUUAGAGGAAGGAGAAGUCGUAACA
This 332-nucleotide ribosomal RNA is filed under the name uncultured eukaryote. RNAcentral's name for it is "partial 18S ribosomal RNA". It matches the Rfam family "Eukaryotic small subunit ribosomal RNA", at positions 1470 to 1796 of the family's 1831-position model. The record is from RNAcentral.